Molecule: RNA transcript, 1180 nt
Organism: Pseudomyrmex gracilis
Lineage: Eukaryota; Metazoa; Arthropoda; Insecta; Hymenoptera; Formicidae
Exons: 2
Source: RefSeq, a predicted model, not a curated record
GUAGACGCACGCUUCUACAUAAGUAAAGACAAAGAAUAUGCAAUAACAUUGCAAGCAGUAUGUGAUGCAGAACUUCGAUUCUUAGAUUGCUUUGCUGGAUUUGCUGGAUCAGUGGCAGAUCGGCGAGUCUUUUGAAAUUCAGACCUAUGGAAGGAAGUCAAUGCAAAUAAAGCAUCUUAUUUUGUAGAUCAGGAUUACAUUAUUGGAGACAAAGCUUAUCCAUGUUUGACAUGGUUAAUACCACCAUUCAUUAAUUUUGGGCAACUCACACAGCUCAGAAGAAAUUUAAUACAAUACUUGCCAGUAUGAAACAAGUUAUCGAAAGAGCAUUUGCGCUGCUGAAAGGUAGAUGGAGACAACUAAAAUUCUUGGAUAUGAAUCGUGAUGACAUGAUUCCUUUUGUUAUAUUAGCAAGCUGUGUAUUACACAAUAUUUGUCUUGAUAAUGGACUAGAAGAUUAUGAAGACUUUAUUAUCAAAGGGCAUGAUGAUGAUAAUGAUGAUGAUAAUCAUUUUGUUAGGGAACCAGUAAAUUUACAAGACGAUCCUGAGGGUAUACUAAAACGACAAUAUCUCACUACUUUAAUUCCCUGAAUUAAUAUGAUAUAUUAAUAUAUUGUUAUAAUUAUUAAUUUAAAACAUUUAAACUAAGAUUCUAUAGCCUAGAGCUAUAUUUUUAUGUGUUUAGAAUCAGUCAUCAUCAAAUUAUUGUCAAAGAGUAAUUUUUAUAAUUUUGUAACGUGGUACAUAUGUUAGUAUAUAUAGUGUAAAAAGUAGUAAUAGUAUGUGUUAUGUAAUGUAGUAGUUUGUAAAUAAUAUGAUAAAAAAUAGUCAUUUAUUAUUGAAAAAAUAAGUCAUUUAUUAAUUUUACUUGUAUUUUAUAAUCUUACUCUUUAAUGAACGAAUGUGCAACUAGAAUGAAAUUGUAUGGAAGAGAAUGAUAUGAUAGAAAAAGAUGAAAAGGUUUUAUUAUAUUCGUUUUCUUAUAAUGUAAAAUGCUAUCGGCAAUACAUGUGCAUCCGUAAUACUAGCUCACAGCCAUUACAAAAUUAUAAUAUUGCAAACAAACUAAAAUCUAGUAUAUAGCUGCAUUUUAUCACAAGUUGCAACAAAAUAUUAAAGAUAAUAAAAGCCAUUUUUAAUCUCAAUAAUACGAACAAAAAUAAUGUACCAUAGAUUUC